This 253-nucleotide ribosomal RNA is filed under the name uncultured bacterium. Its description in RNAcentral is "partial 16S ribosomal RNA". It matches the Rfam family "Bacterial small subunit ribosomal RNA", at positions 524 to 776 of the family's 1533-position model. The record is from RNAcentral.
UACGGGGGGGGCAAGCGUUGUUCGGAAUUACUGGGCGUAAAGGGCUCGUAGGUGGCCAACUAAGUCAGAUGUGAAAUCCCUCAGCUUAACUGGGGAACUGCUUCUGAUACUGGAUGGCUUGAGUUUGGGAGAGGGAUGCGGAAUUCCAGGUGUAGCGGUGAAAUGCGUAGAUAUCUGGAGGAACACCGGUGGCGAAGGCGGCAUCCUGGACCAACACUGACACUGAAAAGCGAAAGCCAGGGGAGCAAACGGG